RNAcentral lists this long non-coding RNA (7499 nucleotides) under Homo sapiens (human). RNAcentral's name for it is "HSALNT0085584". The record is from RNAcentral. Lineage: Eukaryota; Metazoa; Chordata; Mammalia; Primates; Hominidae.
CCUGCCCCCAGAGGUGUAGUCUACAGAGGCCGGUGGGCCUCACUGAGCUACGGUGGGCUCCACUCAGUUCAAGCUUCCCUGGCGGCUUUGUUUACCUACUCAAGCCUCAGCAAUGGCAGAUGCCCCUCCCCCAGCCAGGCUUGCCACCUUGCAGUUUGAUCUCGGACUAGCAGUGAGCAAGGUUCUGUGGGUGUGGGACCCGCUAAGCCAGGUGCGGGAUAUAAUCUCCUGGUGUUCCAUUUGCUAAGACUGUUGGAAAACAGCAGUGUUUAGGUGGCAGUGUCCCGAUUUUCCCGGUACAGCCUGCCAUGGCUUCCUUUUGCUAGGAAAGGGAAAUCUCCCAACCUCUUGUGCUUCCUCGGUGAGGCGAUGCCGCGCCCUGCUUCAGCUUGCUCUCUGUGGUUUGCAUCCACUGUCUGACCAGUCCCAAUGAGAUGAACCAGGUACCUCAGUUGGAAAUGCAGAAAUCACCCAUCUUCUGCAUCGAUCACACUGGGAGCUGCAGACCGGAGCUGUUCCUAUUCAGCCAUCUUGGAACGGACCCCCAUUACAAAACUUGGCAGCCCUCAACCAGAAGACAGGAAAUCAGUCAUUCAACAGUAAUGACUCCCAGAGCUGAUGUUCCAAACUCCAGAAGGGUCUCAGUAGCGACAAUUCCAAGAAACUAAAGUUCUCAUGCAUUUGAACUUGAAGUGACCCAUAAUACCAGCAUCCCAGGCUCUCCAAUUUGCAGAUGGGCUGUCAUGGAACUUCUCAGCUGUGAUAAUCAUGUUUGAAAUAGUGAUGCACAAUUAUAAUAUUCAAGAAAUGAUAUAAAAUACUGUAUAGUCAAGAAAUCUUCCAUGGCAACACUCAGUUUACAUUUCAUGAAUAAUUUAUGUGAUGGACUGAAGUGCUCCCUUUAAAAAAAUGUUUUAAAGUAAUCUGGGGCAGAUUGAAACCUAGAUUACCAACCAACUAGGAGCCUACGUGGGAAACACUUUGGGGACCCUUUAACUUAGCCUCCCUUAGGAAAACAUGCCACAUUUCAAUCGCUGGAAGGUGGCUUCAGCGCUCUUAUGCAACUGGAACAUAAUGGCCCAUAAGAACUGUUUAUUUUUUCAAAUUUUGUGAGUUGUUUAUUAUUCAGUGACAUUAUUAAUAAUUAAAUUAUAAAAAUGUAUAAUCAAAUAAAUGAUAAUAGAAACAAAAGCAACACACGCUCCACAUAUAACUUCCAUAUUGAUUAUAUUUUACUAUUUUCUAUGCACUUGUGGCAAUUUAAAUCUAUUGUAUCUGUAUGGUGGAGCUAUUAUAUAAUAGUGUACUACUAUGCAUUUAGUACAAUCAAUUUUACCAAUACAAUGAAUAUAUGGCACAAAAUUUACAUGUAAUGAUAAAAUAUAUAGUACACUAUAGCAAAUUUCCUAUAGCCAAAUGAGGAUCACAAAAUGCUUUGUUGAUCUUUUUUGAAUUCUUGCUUCUGUAGUCAAUAUAUUGUUGAAAUUCACAAAUCAGUGCAAAUCCAAUAUUGUUGUUUGUAUGCAUUUUCCUUUACACAUCUAGUGAGUAGAAAGUAGAAAGUGAAACAGUAAAAGCUUAGGUUGUAAAUUUACCCAUUUGAAAAUGACAUCAAACUGGAAUCUUUCCAGCUUCGUAUUUAGUACAAUCAAAUUGGAAGCUCAAAAUUAGCCAAGGUGGUAGCAUUUAUACCAUGAACAUUGGCACAUGCUACAAAUCAGGGUUUCAUUUAUCUUCUUGACUUAAUGAAGUGAUAAAUAAUUUGUUAAUUAUGUUUAUAAAACAUAAAAUUGCAUUAGGUAUAGCCAUUACACUGAACAGCACAAAAAUUUGAAAAAUUGUCUUAGGUAGUUUCUCAAGAAAAAAAUACACACACACACACACACACACACACACACACAGAGUCAUGCAUUGCUUAAUGACAAGGACAUGUCAGAUAUGUUUCAAGAAAUGUGUUGUUAUUUGAUUUCAUUGUGUGGACAUCAUAGAGUGUAUUUCAAUAGGCUACGUGGUGCAACCUAUUGCUAUUAGGCUACAUAAUAGUACAACAUGUUACUCUACUCAAUACUAUAGACAAUACAAUGGUUUUGUGUAUUUUAGACAUACCUAGACAUAGAAAAGUUAUAGUAAAAAUGCAGUACUAUAAUCUGUGGUACCACCAUCACUUAUGAAUAAACCCAUCCUCAAGCAGCUCAUGACUGUGUGUGCAUGUGUGUGUGUGCGUGUGUGUGUGUGUGUAUGCAUAUAGAGGGAGGAGAGAUUUUAAGUAAUUGGCUCAUGAAAUUCUGGAAGUAGAAAAGUCCAGUAUUCAUAGAGCUCACGGACAGGCUAGAAAUUCAGGCCUUCAAUUUAUUGAAUGAGGUCCAUCCACAUUUGGAAGGGUAGUCUGCUUUACUCAAAGUGUACUGAUUUAAAUGUUAAUUGCAUCAAAAAUAUCUUCACAGCAACAUCUAGACUGGUGUUGGCCAAAACAACUGGGUACUGUAGCUUAGCCAAGUUGACACAUAAAAGGAACUAUUGCAAAUAUAUUCAAAUAUGCAAUAACUAUUUUCUGGUUUAAUAAAGAAGUUUCUGACGUCGUUUUUGAAUGGGUAAAUUUACAACCUAAGUUUUUACUGUUUCACUUUCUACUUUCUACUUUCUACUCACUAGAUGUGAAAAGGAAAAUACAUACAAACGUCAAUAUUGGAUUUGCACUGAUUUGUGAAUUUCAACAAUAUAUUGACUACAGAAAAAAGAGUUCAAUAAAGAUCAACAAAGCAUUUUCUGAUCCUCAUUUGGCUAUAGAAAAUUUGCUAUAGUGUACUAUAUAUUUUAUCAUCACAUGUAAAUUUUGCACCAUAUAUUCUUUGUAUUGGUAAAAUUGAUCAUAAAUUUACAUGUGCAUAUACAGACACCUGCAGGGUUUUUUUUUUAAAGCCAGUUGUUAAUGUUUAACAGCAUGUCACUUUUCGGCUCUUUAGAAAUGUGAGUGUGGUGUCUAUUUAUUCACAUUUUAAAUAAAUGAGUAUAUAUACACAGAAAGGGCAACUAAUUAAACCUCUGAAUAUUGAAUAAAUAGGAAUUUCUUCUCUCCUCUCUAUGAUCUCUUAGGGUGAGAAGACUAAUGGAUCUUGUCUAAAGAGUUGGAGGAUCUUAGAACAUUUCCCAGUGGGUCCUGAAACCAGCAAUUGCUCCUUGAAUUCUGGUUGUUUAAGUAGAGCAAAAGUACGGAGAACUAAUAACUAAAAAGAUGAACCCAAGCACAGAGAGACCCACAAUUAGGUAGCUGAGUUACCUUUCUUCAAAGGACUAUAGAUGUCUAUGCAGAAACCUGAAUGAGCAAGUCAACAUCAUAACACAGGUCCAUCUUACUUGUAGAAGGUGGAGGACCAGUCUAUUCAACCAACAUCAUAUGGGGCAUGCAAAUCAAUGCAAUUUGUGGGCCAUGUUUAGAUAUGGGUGCAACAUAAUUUCUGUUUCUUAGUUCAUGAUUUUGGAUUACUCUGAAUAUUCUAAUGUGUAAAGAGAUAAAAAUUCAUAUAUUUUUAGUUUAUAUCCAUCGUCUUAGUGAAUUCAGGAUGCUAUCACAAAGUACCAUAGAUUGGGUGGUUCAAAAACAACAGAAAUUUAUGUCACACUAUUCAUUAGGCUGAAGGUCUGAGAUCAGGAUGUCAACAUGAUCGAAAAUUGGUGAGUGUCCUCUUCCAGGUUGCAGAUGAUUGUUUUCUCAUUGUAUUUUCACACCGGAGAGAGGAGAGACCAGAAGGCUCUUCCAUGACUCUUACAUGGGCACUAAUCCUAUUCAACAGGGCUGGGCCCUCAUGAUCCCAUCUAAUCUUAAUAAUAAUCUCCAAAAGGCCCUACAUCCUGAUGUCAUCACAUUGGAGGAGGUAGGAUUUAGACACAUGAAUUUUGGAGGGUUACAAACAUUCCACCUCUUAUACCUACUGAUGUUAAAUGAAUGCUGGAGAGCAUUUAAAAUAUUCCCCAUUCAGAAGCAAGGUACAGUUGAGAGUGUUUGGCAUCUUACUUGACUCAAUCUCUGUAGGAAGAGAAUAGUUGCAUUACCCAAGUUUCUGUCUAUUUCCUGGGAGCAAUUCUAGUUUAAUCGCUAUUCUUAUGUAUGAGUAUAAAGGCCUGGUUCUGUUGUGUCAAUAUUAGACACAUUUGACAGACCAUUUCAACUCCAGAACAUCUGGUAGGUUCAGCUGAGGUUGAACUGAAUCACAUUUCAACUCCUCCAUUGUUCAAUUCAUCUCAAAACCUUUUCUCUUGUGUCAAUAUUAGACACAUUUGAUAGACCAUUUCAACUCCAGAAUAUCUGGUAGGAUCAGCUAAGGUCUCUGGUAGAAUUGAAUCACAUUUCAACUCCUCCUUGUUCAAUUCAUCUCAAAAACUUUUCAGGAAUUUUUUUUUCUUCAAAAUGUACUACCAGAUAAACUCAUACACCUGAGAGAGUUAAAACAUCUGUAGACUGUAUGGAAGUCUUCCUACAGGUUUCUAGUAUGAACCCUUCCUACAACAUACUGAAAUUUGAUUUUACUCUAUUCAGAUGUUAUCAUACAAUUCAAAAAUAGCUACAGGCCCACAAAAUAUUUAAAAUAAAUAUUAGAUGAUUUUUUUUUCUGUUUUUAAUAGGAUUAACAAUGAUCAUAUUAUGAAAUUAUCUUGUGGUACUUCUCAGCCUUGGAUGUUGCUAAGUAUACUUUCCCUAUUUGUGAAUGGUGUUUCUGUGCUGGAAUUUGCAACUAUGGACAAGAAACCAACCUUUUUAAAAGUGAAAGUUUCAAAAGUGCAAUGCAAAGUACAAUUAUGCUACUGAUAAAAACUACUAAAAUAGCCAAGAAUGCAACAUUUGCCAUUAAAAUUUAUGAUAAUUUUAAAUGAUUUGCUGUGACAUUUAUGUUAAAACUCAACUUUUCUGUGUGGUAAUAUUUGUGCUUAUAUUCGUAUGUACAUGACAUCAAACACUGCAUAAUCCAUAGUUUAGUAAGCCAUUUUACAAAUGAAAUGUAUUUAUCACAACUAUAGUUUUCUAAGUAGGCUUUCAUUUACUAAUGCAAAUAGAUUUCACUAACUAUAUUUAUCUCAAUGAAUGCACAUAUGGAAGGAUUUAGUCUUCAUUUGCUUAUUUUAUUGGCUGGUUUUCUGAGAUAUUAUUACAGAUAAAUGGAUCAGACUUGCAGGAUCAACUAAUGAAAAAUGUGAUAAAAUUGCAUUCAAUGAAUAAAAAUAAAUAUGUCAUUCACAGUGAAAAUAUUUUUAUAUUUCUAUGAAAGAUGUAUCUAUGUCCUUAAUAUGCAAAAUUAUAAACAUGUGUCUUGUCAUAUUUCAAUAUUUCAUUAUAUUCCCUGUAGUACUUAGGUUUUAUUUUUUUCUGUAGAUACUAUGCAACUAUUCAUAUCUUUUCUGAUACAUAUAGAGUAGGUUUUGGUCUUUUAUUAAGAGGGAAAAAUAGAAGGGUACAACUUAUUUCUAAAUGUUAAAGCAGAUGUUUUAUAAUUUCUAAUUUGCAUUUUGGAUAAGUUAUACAUAGUAAAUGUGACAUUUGAAUCUAAGCCAUAGGUUGUCAUACAUUUAUCAGAAGUUGUUUUGUCCUUUUGUAUUGUAUCAAUUAUUCUAGGCUGGAUUAUUUUUCAAGAUUACCUGCACGACUGACUCUAGUUUAGAGUUUGACAUAAAAGACAUCUGCAUGAGUUUUGGAGGCAAGAGUGAGAAACAAAAACCACUAUACCCAGAAGAUUGUGGGUUCCAGUUUCACUUUGCAGAUUCUAGCUUGCCAUAAAUUUCAUUGUUUUCUGACUUCCCUUUUUCUAUUGUGGGUUUCUGCCCAAUUGCGAGAAAUGCUGCCCUAUAGAAAAUUGUUCACUUGCUCUCACAAUUGUGUAGGGUAUGAUCCCUGUAAUAAAUCUUUUAUUUAGUAUCACUCACAAUAAUACUGCUCUCCCGACCAAACCUCAAUUGAGCUAUCUGUCCCAAUGGAAAUAUUUCUAAACACCUGCGUCUAAAAAUAUAUCCCUUUAAUUACACUUAUAACUACUGAUUUUUUGUAAUAUCUUUUCUUAAAAUCAGGGGAAUUCCCAGUGAUCACUUCAGCAAUCUAAAGUUUAAAAAAUGAUUCUCUCAUAUUUGAAAAUGUCUGGUUUUUAAUAUAUUAAUGAUACCUGAAACCUAGACAAAAAAUCAAUACGUAGAUUACUUUAUGAAAGUAUAAUUGUAAAAUCAUUCACUCUUAAACAGGAAAGGAGUUAAAGAAACAUAAAUAAGAGUACAAAUUCUUCAUUUUUCUUAUAAUUUCUUUUAGAAUACUUUUAAAUUAUAGGUAAUUUUGAUUAAUUUUAAAUACACACGCAGACACAGAGACCAAAUGGGUAAACUUUCUGUGUUUUACUAUCUAGGUGUAUCUUAAUAUUUUCAUCCCCUUACUGCUUCUAAAAAUAUAUAUAAACUAUUUUUGGUCUUGAGAAAGAUACAAAUAAGAAAAAAAGAAAUUUUGAUGUAAUGUAGAGUGAAAGCAAAAUGAGUAAUAACCAAGUAUUUUUAGAGAAGAUAUUUUACUAUCACAGAAAAUGGAGUGACACAAGCUCCUAGCAAUGUGAAUACUCCCAGAAACCCCUAUUUCCACAAGAAUGGAAUAACGUACUUUUAUAAUUAUGUAUUUUAGCUAAAAAUAACUGUACUAGCUAAUUCUGAGGAGUGCAUCUAAGUAGCUUGUUCAAAAAUAUUUUAAAAUAUUUUAAUUUAUACAUUUGAAUUUUAUCCUCAAACAAGCAAAAUAAAAUAUUCAUUUUGGGUUUUCUUCGUUUUCUUUAUUCUAGUGAUGAAUCUGAUUAGAAUGUUCCAUGAUCUUUUAUGUUAUUGCAUUUUUACUUAAUGAUAGGUCCCAAUUUUGGGUGAAUUAUUGACAAAAGAUACAAUAAAUUCAAGAUAUAAGAUGAGGCAAGUCCAAAUCAAGUAUAUCAGAUGCAUCCAAUUAAAUUUUUAAAUAGUUAGAUGGCUUCAUUUGUUUCAAGUAAUGUAUUAGUCUGUUUUCAUGCUGCUGAAAAAGACAUACUGAGACUGGGUAUUUUAUAAAGAAAAACAUGUUUAAUGGACUCACAGUUUCACGUGGCUGGGGAGACCUCACAAUUAUAGCAGAAAGCAAAAGGCGCAUCUUACAUGGUGGCAGGCAAGAGAGAAUGAGAACCAAACAAAAGGGGCUUCCCCUUUUAAAACCAUUAGCUCUCAUGAGACUUAUUCACUGCCAUGAGAAGAGUACGGGGGAAACCAUUCCCAUGUUUCAAUUAUCUCCCACUGGGUCCCUCCCACAACAUGUGGGGAUUAUGGGAGCGACAAUUCAAGAUGAGAUUUGGGUGGAGACACAGCCAAACCAUAUCCAGUAACAUCUGUGAUUAGUUUGUAUCAUGUGGUGAAAUACAAUGGGAAAAGAAGUUAUGUUCUCCACAACAUGUCUAUAUGUGGGUGUAUGGGCUCCUUUUUAAUGUAUUUUUUGGAUAUAUAUAACACAUCGAUGCAUG